Alligator mississippiensis (American alligator) is the source of this 2586-nucleotide long non-coding RNA. RefSeq lists it as uncharacterized. NCBI's taxonomy places the organism in Eukaryota, Metazoa, Chordata, Crocodylia, Alligatoridae. The record is from RefSeq and is a predicted model, not a curated record. The transcript is spliced from 2 exons.
CCCUGCAGAAAGAAAACAAAUGUGGUUAUGUUUCAUUUCCCUGUGGAGUUCACACUUGAAAAGUUUUGCUAUCGAGUCAGAAGGCAUAGCAGUGCUCAAAAAUACAGCAAGCAGCAGAACUGCAGAAAGCUUGUCAAACAUUUAAGCCAAAGUAAAGAAAAAUCUCAGAGCACAGCAUAUUACAAAGUAGCAUGUGCAAUAUGGAUCCCUGUUCCUUCAGUCUAAAGUGUAUCGUUUGCUUCAAAUCAAAACACCCAUAGCUAACAACUCUCUUAGCUCCCUGGACCAUUUACAGGACUGAACCGUGUUUGAAACUGUGGUCUAAUUCUUGGUAAUGGCACAAAAGGAGGCAAAAUGUGAAACCUAACUUCAAAAUUAAAGUUUAGUUGUAGCAUGUGUUGAAUGCUGGACAUCACCUCACCCUAAAGUGGAGGAAGUUCUAUAGCAUCUAUAUAUUUUGCUUUCACAGGGCAAUUUUGCCUGUUCCUGAAGGAAGUAUUCAUUAAGUCAGGGCUGUCCAAAUUCUGAGCAUGAGGGCCACACUCCACAUGGGCUGUAGUCCUGGAGGCUGCAUGAGGCAGGGACCAGAGAAAGGGCUGAUCACUGUACAGGUGGCCUUCUCACCAGCUCUAUACUGCCACACAGGCAGUAUAGCAUGCCCCCCUCACCCUCACACACAACCUGACCCCUCUCUCCUUCCAACUGUGCAUGCCAAGGAGACACCCCACCUCUCCUUACCCUGCAGGACAGGCAGCUCAACUCCCCACUGCAAAUGGAGCCCUCUCCUCCCCUCCCAGCUACAUGCACAUCUGCAGUGUGAACAGCCUGACUCCUGCCCCUCUCUCUCUCACAGAACACGCAACCCAGUCCCCCUCCUAUGAGUGGAGGCAUGAUGUAAAAGCUGGAGGAAGGAAGGGGGAAACUGAAUAACCCAGCUGCUUGCAAGUGCAACAGUGAAAGAGAGGGAGCAGCAGUUGUGCUGGGAGCCUGCAGGCCAUUAUACUAACCCUUUAGGAGUCGCAUGUGGCACAUGGGCCACCAUUUGGAGAGCCCUGCUUUAAUUCAAUGAUACAUAAUACCUUAAGCAACCGGGAAAAUUAAAGAUACAGAGGAAUAAAAGGUUCAGAAAUGUGUACAAGGGUACAAAAAGCUCCUCCCAAAUGUUUUGAUCACUACGAUGACUCCAGAAUAUCAAGAAACCUGCUCCUACUGUAUAUUUAAACACAGUGAAAUAUAGAACCCAGUAGAACCUGAAUGGAACUGAUACAUUAGUGAUGUUUGUGCAGUGACUGUGUAUUUGAAAAAUAAACUUUAAAUAAAAUGUUUUUCCUACUAGUCAAAAAGUUUAAAAUUAUGCAUGAUUUUACUACUACAAGGAGAACAGGUAAUGCUACACAGCAUUAAGUUUGCCUUUGCCUUGAGAAAAUGAAUGUUCUGUAAACUGAUAAAAUAUGCUGUAGUCUAGAUUUGGGGGCAUUGUGUAUUUUACUUCAUUAACUUCAUAAAGGCACACAUUAUUUUAAUUUCACUAAUGCAAUAUGAAAUAGUGUUUCCAACCUACUAACAUAAAAAAAAAAUAAAUCACAAAACCAUUAUCGCUACAUGCACACAAGCAAUAAAGUUCUCCUAAUGAGGAUGCAUUUGUAGAAUCAUAUUGCAUGAAAUGACAGCAUGUGCAGCUUCUUAAUGCAAGUGAGGGCUUUCAACAGUCAGCAUUAUAGUUUAAAGUUCUAGUUGUCCUGAAAUUGUAGCUACUAAUUCCCAAAAAAACCAGGCAGCUGCAAUCUUUGCAAUGAUUUGUUAGCACUGUCUUUAACUCUUUGCACCAUCUACUGCCAGCACAAGGAGACCCUGAUUCUCUGGAACUUCUGGGUGCUACAGAAAUAAAAACAAGACGCACAGAAGGAAGAGGAACUCAAAUCCUGGCAAGAAGCUAAGAAGAAACCCAAGCAAUGCUGGAUUAAGUCAUCAAAAACAACAUAUACACUUGUCCUUUACUUUUUAUCAAGAAGUAACAAUUCUCAAUUUUUUUCCUGAAUUAAUUCAGACUAAUUUUACAACGUAUUGCAGAAAACAGCAUUUGUUUUCUAAACUGCACAUGUAAGAAGAAUUUCAUGAUUUGGUCACUUCUGAUCCAUUUUGGCAGCUGUUCUGAAGUUAAUGACUAAAGACAGACAACCUAGGUCAGCAACCUACAGCCAUGGACCAGAUCUGACAUGGGGCAGCUCAGGGCAUUGACAGCCUGUUCCAGCCACAGCAGCAGAGGAGGCAUUGCUAGGGUUCUACUUCCUGCUGAGUUCAGUUUGUUUUCCGUGCUGCAGCAGAGGUGGCAUUCUGUGGAUCCUAGAAGCCUGCCUUUAUCUAUUCCCUUCUCACCAUCUGCCAAUUGUCUGGAGGUUCCUUUAAAGUCUCCUCUUCCAGCCACUGAAAGUGUUGACCUAGCAUGGUAAACUGAAGGAGACUAAAGAAUCAGGACACAGAACAACCAGUAUUCUGUGCCCAAAAUACUCCCAUAUAAAGGCAGACCUAAAAAAUUACUGGUUUAAAACUUUCAUCUUUAAAAAUAAAUCUAGGGAGUUGUAUUUG